CUAUGGCAAGACCUUCGAGUCUAAUAAGUCGCUUCGGCAGAAAAGGAGAUUUUUCUUUAUGAAGCGUGAAAAGAAGGGAAGGUGUUUUUCGCCUGUGGCUCAAAAACGAUACACAUAUACCUUCCUUUCUAGGAGAAAGCGCUCUAUGGCGUCUGACGACAACAUACAAGAAGCCUGCCAAGAAAUACAGCACCCUGCAUCCUAAUUAGCAACACAUGUACGUGCAUGCUCUAUUCCACAAGCUCUCAGGCACUGGCUGGAACGGAUGCAGGGUCGAUCAUCCCAGCCAGAAACGCGACGAAGAUGCACACCAUCAGCAGGCCGAUUAUCGCAGCCCUGAUGGCGUUCUCGCAGCUAUAAGGUGAUGGGAUCUCUUCUUCAUCCAAGUCGAAGUCCAAGUCUGUGACAGGUGACCCGUCAUCAACGCUGACCAAGCGGAGCUGCUUCUUGCUCCCUUCCCCUGCCGGUAUCACUGAAUCAUCACGAGGACUCUCACAUCGCAGGCAGCUGCAUUUACCGCCCAGAAACGCUGGCAUAGCCUGCAGGAACUCCGCCAAUGCCUUCUUGUACGAAUCUCCCUCAAAACGCAACUUCUGCUUUGUAGCUGGUUUCAAGACCUGUGUAGAAUUUAAGCUAUGAGUACCAUGUGAUAUUGCAAUCUACCAGCAAAAGAUAAAGUCAAACUGAUCCUUCCUUUUUA
Zea mays is the source of this 700-nucleotide long non-coding RNA. RefSeq lists it as uncharacterized. The transcript has 2 exons. The record is from RefSeq and is a predicted model, not a curated record. Lineage: Eukaryota; Viridiplantae; Streptophyta; Magnoliopsida; Poales; Poaceae.